GUGCUCACUUCGGCAAUACGUAUACUAAAACUGGAAUGAUACGAAGAUUACCACAGCCCCCAUGCAAAGAUGACACGCAAAUGUGUGAAACACUCCAUAUUUUU
RNAcentral lists this small nuclear RNA (104 nucleotides) under Chinchilla lanigera (long-tailed chinchilla). Lineage: Eukaryota; Metazoa; Chordata; Mammalia; Rodentia; Chinchillidae. The record is from RNAcentral.